GAACGCACCUUGCGCCUUUUGGUAUUCCGAAAGGCAUGCCUGUUUGAGUGUCAUGAAAUCUCAAUCCCCCUGGGUUUAUGAUCUGGGUUGGGACUUGGACUUGGGUGCUGCCGGUUACAUGGCUCGCCUCAAAUGACUUAGUGGAUCUCUUUGCAUCCGUGACAGACGUAAUAAGUUUCGUCUUGUCCCUUGCUGUCUGAGUCUGCUCCUAACCUGCCAUUGUGCACUUUUAGACUCUGACCUCAAAUCAGGUAGGACUACCCGCUGAACUUAAG
This 275-nucleotide unclassified non-coding RNA is filed under the name uncultured fungus. RNAcentral's name for it is "sequence contains 5.8S rRNA gene". The stretch from base 1 to 53 matches the Rfam family "5.8S ribosomal RNA", at positions 102 to 154 of the family's 154-position model. The record is from RNAcentral. Lineage: Eukaryota; Fungi.